RNAcentral lists this ribosomal RNA (603 nucleotides) under uncultured bacterium. RNAcentral describes it as "bacterial SSU rRNA". The stretch from base 1 to 531 matches the Rfam family "Bacterial small subunit ribosomal RNA", at positions 338 to 873 of the family's 1533-position model. The record is from RNAcentral.
CCUACGGGAGGCAGCAGUAAGGAAUAUUGGUCAAUGGACGCAAGUCUGAACCAGCCAUGCCGCGUGAAGGAUGAAGGUCCUCUGGAUUGUAAACUUCUUUUAUUUGGGACGAAAAAAGGGUUUUCUAACUCACUUGACGGUACCAGAUGAAUAAGCACCGGCUAACUCCGUGCCAGCAGCCGCGGUAAUACGGAGGGUGCAAGCGUUAUCCGGAUUCACUGGGUUUAAAGGGUGCGUAGGCGGGUAUGUAAGUCAGCGGUGAAAUCCCCGAGCUUAACUUGGGAACUGCCGUUGAUACUAUAUAUCUUGAAUGUUGUGGAGGUUAGCGGAAUAUGUCAUGUAGCGGUGAAAUGCUUAGAUAUGACAUAGAACACCCAUUGCGAAGGCAGCUAACUACGCAAAUAUUGACGCUGAGGCACGAAAAGCGUGGGGAUCAAACAGGAUUAGAUACCCUGGUAGUCCACGCCCUAAACGAUNAUACUACACAUAGUGAUACACAUCAGUGUNUGAGNGAAGANAUAAUAAUACACCNCGGAGAGANGCAGAGUAGAAGUAAAAGUAAAGUUAGUAGCGNGAGAGAGCGACGAGACACGAGGGAGGAGG